Molecule: long non-coding RNA, 447 nt
Organism: Pan paniscus (pygmy chimpanzee)
Lineage: Eukaryota; Metazoa; Chordata; Mammalia; Primates; Hominidae
Source: Ensembl
AGGAGUUAACCUGGAUAAUAAAGUGAUGUAAGGCUUAAUAAACCUUGUUUCUGGCCAAAUCCCAGGGAGAAUGAAUUUCAUGUGACUCAGCUCUAUGGAAUCAAUAAUAACUGACUCCUGUUUGGCACUAGUUGAAUAUGAGGUGCAGACAAGUACUCGUUCAGGCCCAAGAAAUCUUCCAGUCAUGCCGUUGACUCUUUAUUGUGGAUAUUACAAAUGUUUUGACACAUCUUCAGGGUCAGUUUACAAAGAAAACGGAUUCUGCAUCCUCCUCAAAGGUAAUGAAAUCACUGGGGAAAAUCCUGCAAAUUUAGAGAACUGAAGAAAAUGUACCUCAACUGUCUGCAAUCUAAGGGACAAAACAGAAUAAGGAAGGAAUAAAAUGGCAGAAUGAACUAUUAAAUAAGUACAACACUGAAGAUACAGUCAGAGUUCAUGAGAUUCCAG